GGAUCGAGAGACCCACUUUGGGACGUGGGUCGAGCAUGGAUCAGAUGAAUUGCCAUCUCGGAUGGAUGCACGGCCGGCGCCCACCGGCCUGUGUU
Molecule: non-coding RNA, 95 nt
Organism: Citreicella sp. 357
Lineage: Bacteria; Pseudomonadati; Pseudomonadota; Alphaproteobacteria; Rhodobacterales; Roseobacteraceae
Source: Rfam